Molecule: non-coding RNA, 117 nt
Filed under: Burkholderia glumae
Lineage: Bacteria; Pseudomonadati; Pseudomonadota; Betaproteobacteria; Burkholderiales; Burkholderiaceae
Description: TPP sequence
Rfam family: TPP riboswitch aptamer (THI element)
About the family: Vitamin B(1) in its active form thiamin pyrophosphate (TPP) is an essential coenzyme that is synthesised by coupling of pyrimidine and thiazole moieties in bacteria. The previously detected thiamin-regulatory element, thi box was extended, resulting in a new, highly conserved RNA secondary structure, the THI element, which is widely distributed in eubacteria and also occurs in some archaea.
Source: RNAcentral
UAGCUAACGCGGGGGUCCUGCGUGGCGCCAUUCGAAACACGGCGCUUCGCGGGUGAGAAAUACCCUUUGAACCUGAUCUGGAUAAUGCCAGCGCAGGGAAGCGUACAGGCCUCGACC